CAAGUCGAGCGAGGGCUCAUUUCCCGCAAGGGAGAUGAGUUCCUAGCGGCGAACGGGUGAGUAACACGUGGGCAACCUUUCCUAUCGCGGGGGAUAACAGCGGGAAACCGCUGCUAAUACCGCAUGUAGUCACCGGUCGCAUGGCCGGUGAAAAAAGCAGCAAUGCACGAUGGGGUGGGCCCGCGGCCUAUCAGCUAGUCGGUGGGGUAACGGCCUACCGAGGCGAUGACGGGUAGCUGGUCUGAGAGGACGACCAGCCACACGGGGACUGAGACACGGCCCCGACUCCUACGGGAGGCAGCAGUGAGGAAUCUUCCGCAAUGGGCGAAAGCCUGACGGAGCGACACCGCGUGUGGGAUGAAGUCCUUCGGGAUGUAAACCACUGUUGGAGGGGAAGACAUCGACGGUACCCUCCGAGAAAGCCCCGGCUAACUACGUGCCAGCAGCCGCGGUAAUACGUAGGGGGCUAGCGUUAUCCAGAUUUACUGGGCGUAAAGCGCGUGUAGGCGGCUGGUUAGGUGUGAUGUGAAAUCCUCGGGCUCAACCCGAGAACUGCAUUGCAAACCGGCCUGGCUAGAGUGCAGGAGAGGGAAGCGGAAUUCCAGGUGUAGCGGUGAAAUGCGUAGAUAUCUGGAGGAACACCAGUGGUGAAGGCGGCUUCCUGGCCUGUAACUGACGCUGAGACGCGAAAGCGUGGGGAGCGAACCGGAUUAGAUACCCGGGUAGUCCACGCCCUAAACGUUGCGAACUAGGUGUUGGUCGGAUUGACCCGAUCAGUGCCGCAGCUAACGCAUUAAGUUCGCCGCCUGGGGACUACGGCCGCAAGGUUAAACUCAAAGGAAUAGGCGGGGGCCCGCACAAGCAGCGGA
Molecule: ribosomal RNA, 869 nt
Filed under: uncultured Actinomycetes bacterium
Lineage: Bacteria; Bacillati; Actinomycetota; Actinomycetes
Description: bacterial SSU rRNA
Rfam family: Bacterial small subunit ribosomal RNA
Source: RNAcentral